This is a long non-coding RNA of Ochotona curzoniae (black-lipped pika), 493 nucleotides long. RefSeq lists it as uncharacterized. The transcript is spliced from 3 exons. NCBI's taxonomy places the organism in Eukaryota, Metazoa, Chordata, Mammalia, Lagomorpha, Ochotonidae. The record is from RefSeq and is a predicted model, not a curated record.
CUUCUGUGAAAUGGGGAGAAUGCAGUCAGGGAAAGUUCCAGAAAAUCAGCAUGUCAGGGUGUGGAGGAGUGCCAGCCAUGGGAAACUGAUUUGUGUUGACCAAGCUCAUGGGAGUCAGCAUAUGUUCUAAGAAUAGAUUGGAAAGGAUGGAACUGAGGAAUAUUUCAGUGGAGGAAAGUUUGCUUGCAAGUAAAGUGAAACCAACAUAAAUAUAACAUAAAGAAGGCAUUUAUUGAGAUCUCCAACAUCACUGGGAAUUUAUUAGUUAAUUCUGCAGAUUUCUAUCAUUGAAAUUUUUGUGUAAAUCUAGCCAAGAGUUUGGAUUAUGGACAUACCAGUCUGGGUACAUGUCCUAAUGCUCACCUUCUGAUAUUUACUCGUAUUUGCUUUGCCUUAGACUUCUAAUCUGUAAGUUUGCAGUGAUGUUAUUGGGGAGAUUUAAUGAGGUGGCAUUUUCAAAAUGUUUAGCAUAAUACAUUUAAGGAAGUAAAAG